CAAUAGUGGUACAAGUCCUUUAGAACUGGGCAUCAUAGAGGGUGACAAUCCCGUAUGACCAAACCUAUUCGUCCAUGUGAAGCCCUUUCGAAGAGUCGAGUUGUUUGGGAAUGCAGCUCAAAAUGGGUGGUAGAUUUCAUCUAAAGCUAAAUAUAAGCCAGAGACCGAUAGCGCACAAGUAGAGUGAUCGAAAGAUGAAAAGCACUUUGAAAAGAGAGUUAAACAGCACGUGAAAUUGUUGAAAGGGAAGCGCUUAUAACCAGACUUGUUUUCAACAUUCAGCUCGACUCUCGGGUCGAGUGCACUUUGUUGUUAUCAGGCCAGCAUCGGUUUUGGCGGUUGGAUAAAAACURGAGGAAAGUAGCUUUGCCCGCAAAGUGUUAUAGCCUCUAGUACAAUGCAGCCAGUCGAGACCGAGGAUCGCGCUCUAAGCUCGGAUGCUGGCGUAAUGGUUGUCAGCGACCCGUCUUGAAACACGGACCAAGGAGUCGACCAAUUGAGCGAGCGUUAGGGUGUAAAACCCAUUAACGCGCAAUGAAAGUAAACGUAGGUGGGAAGCCUUUGGCUGCACCAUCGACCGAUCUGAGUUCGCGAGGAUUUGAGUAAGAGUUUAUUUGGUCGGACCCGAAAGAAGGUGAACUAUACUUGAAUAAGUUGAAGUCAGGGGAAACCCUGAUGGAGGACUGCAGCGGUUCUGACGUGCAAAUCGAUCGUCAAAUUUGAGUAUAGGGGCGAAAGACUAAUCGAACCUUCUAGUAGCUGGUUCCUGUCGAAGUUUCCCUCAGGAUAGCAGCAACGAAUUGAACAGUCUCAUGAGGUAGAGC
RNAcentral lists this ribosomal RNA (824 nucleotides) under Thelotrema crespoae. RNAcentral's name for it is "eukaryotic LSU rRNA". It matches the Rfam family "Eukaryotic large subunit ribosomal RNA", at positions 170 to 1014 of the family's 3401-position model. The record is from RNAcentral. Lineage: Eukaryota; Fungi; Ascomycota; Lecanoromycetes; Ostropales; Graphidaceae.